ACAGGGGAAGAAACAGGCCGUGUGUCCACAGUCAGCCUUCUAGCAAGAGAGAGGGACACUGGUAAGUCAGACAGUUUUUGCUGUCCCACCAGACUACACAGCAGAUGACUGGUGUUUUGUCAGCAAUUCCAAAAGAUAUUUUGAAAUCAGUGUUGACAUCUGGUUACAUAAAUAUGCCCCAGGCCAGGAUUUUCCUUCAUUCUUUAGCAUUAGAGAGAAGUUUUUGAUCUGUCUCAGCAUCUGUCCUUAGCGUUACAACUUGUUUCCUCUGUUAGGCUGUUGACAGUCGUGAAAGGGCAGUUCACCCAAGGAAAUGUAAUUAUUUUCCCUCGCUAAAUGUUAAAGGCAUGAGCAUCUUUCCUCAUGGUCACUCAGAAAUGGGAAAGCUCUGUCUCAGCUAUUUGGUGCAGAGUCAGCGUGGUGGAGAGGAGUGACAUUCAACAGAUCCAGAAAGGUGAUAUAUUUCAUGGACUACAGCAGGAAAUGUAAAACUCCAAUCUUCAGUCCUGUGCAGGCUCUUGAAGGGGUUGGUGCAGCAUGGAGCAGAUUGCUGUGGCAGAGGUUUGGGGACACCAGUGAGUGGCCUGUGAGGGAGGACCUAAGGGGAGGCAGCAGAGGCCUGCAGAGGAAGACGGAGAGCAAGGAAGCAGCUGUCGGCGUUCCCUCCUGGAGGUCUAAGCUCCGAGCCUCGGUCCUGUCCACUCUAGCUCCUCCUUUCCCCCUGCGACAAUAAGGAACACAGUACUCAGAGCGGCUGAUAACUGCUGAUCCUCUUCUUGCGACUGAUAUUGUAAUGCUUACCUAAAUUUUCUGGGGAAAAAAUUCGGUUCCUCUUUUAUCAGUGUUCGGGGAGUAUUUGAACUUGCAGAAAUGGGUGCGGGUGUGUUCAGAAAACUAAUAUCUGAUCACUUGGGAGGGAGAUGGAUGGGAGAGGGGCACAGGCCAGAUUCUCCUCCAUAGCUAAGAUGAAGAGGAGCUUCCAGGCGUUGGGCUCACUCCGUAUCCUGGAGUGUGGGUCUCUGAUACGCUGAUGCUUUGAGCUGAGCGAUGGGAAGGAGGAGAAGCACGGCGUUUCUGACCUUCUCCAUCCCCGUGUGCAGCCCUCUGUCUCCCUCCAAGCAAGUCAUAGAAGCCGGAACUUCGCUUCCCCAUGGUGAGUCACAGAAACUAGAACUCCUCUCCCUCAAAGGGAGCCAUGAGCCCCGAAAUGUUCCCCUCUGCUCUCUCUUCUCUCCCGAAGACCCUCAGGUGAGAGGCGGCAGGGCCUGGACCCAGAGGAAGGGGCACUAUGCAGACAGGCGGUGAAGAGUCCGCGCAGACAGGCCUGCUCCUAUCCCUUUAAGUUGUCACCAUUGGGCUAUACCCUUUUUACACAAUGACACUGCUACAUAGCCAUCCAUUCUUCAUCUAAUGUAAGCAUACAAAUAUCAUUUUCCUAGGUCUCCAUUUCUUCAAUCUCUCACGUCACGUAAAACUUUAUUAAAUAAACUCAUAAUAAUUUUCUCUUGCUAACCUGUCUUUGCUAUAGAUGUGUUGGUCAUGACCCUUACGUUGAGUAUUACAGCUUUCCACCCCUGCACAGGCCAGCAGGUGCCCCCUUAUGGUGGGAAACAAGGUCCCUACUUUGCCCUAAUCUCACCUGAAGCACUAGCAAGGCCCAUCCACAUAAUGGGACAGGAAGGGCUUCUGGCACACCUGGGUUAUGUGAAAUACACUUGUUUGUAUUACAAGGUCUUUCUCGUAAGGAUUUGUAAGCAGUGUGGGAAAAGUGUGGCACUGAAUAUUUCUUCUA
This is a long non-coding RNA of Chinchilla lanigera (long-tailed chinchilla), 1792 nucleotides long. RefSeq lists it as uncharacterized. The record is from RefSeq and is a predicted model, not a curated record. The transcript has 3 exons. NCBI's taxonomy places the organism in Eukaryota, Metazoa, Chordata, Mammalia, Rodentia, Chinchillidae.